This 468-nucleotide ribosomal RNA is filed under the name uncultured bacterium. RNAcentral describes it as "partial 16S ribosomal RNA". It matches the Rfam family "Bacterial small subunit ribosomal RNA", at positions 28 to 507 of the family's 1533-position model. The record is from RNAcentral.
GAUGAACGCUGGCGGCGUGCUUAACACAUGCAAGUCGAACGGAAAGGCCCUGCUUUUGCGGGGUGCUUGUGUGGCGAAGGGGUGAGUAACACGUGAGUAACCUGCACUUGUCUUAGGGAUAACUUCAGGAAACUGGGGCUAAUACAGGAUAGGAGCUCCUGCUGCAUGGUGGGGGUUGGAAAGUUUCGGCGGUUGGGGAUGGACUCGCGGCUUAUCAGCUUGUUGGGCGGGUAGUGGCUUACCAAGGCUUUGACGGAUAGCCGGCCUGAGAGGGUGACCGGCCACAUUGGGACUGAGGUACGGACCAGACUCCUACGGGAGGCAAUAGUGGAAAAUAUUGCACAGUGGGCGGGAGUCUGAGGCAGCAGCGCCGCGUGCGGAAUGACGGCCUUCGGGGUGUAAACCGCUGUCGCCUGAGACGAAGCGUUAGUGACGGUAAUGGGUAAAGAAGCACCGGCUAACUACGUG